UACGGGGGGGGGCAAGCGUUGUUCGGAAUUACUGGGCGUAAAGGGCUCGUAGGUGGCCAACUAAGUCAGACGUGAAAUCCCUCGGCUUAACCGAGGAACUGCGUCUGAUACUGGAUGGCUUGAGUUUGGGAGAGGAAUGCGGAAUUCCAGGUGUAGCGGUGAAAUGCGUAGAUAUCUGGAGGAACACCGGUGGCGAAGGCGGCAUUCUGGACCAAUACUGACGCUGAGGAGCGAAAGCCGGGGAGCAAACGGG
RNAcentral lists this ribosomal RNA (253 nucleotides) under uncultured bacterium. RNAcentral describes it as "partial 16S ribosomal RNA". It matches the Rfam family "Bacterial small subunit ribosomal RNA", at positions 524 to 776 of the family's 1533-position model. The record is from RNAcentral.